This 253-nucleotide ribosomal RNA is filed under the name uncultured bacterium. RNAcentral describes it as "partial 16S ribosomal RNA". It matches the Rfam family "Bacterial small subunit ribosomal RNA", at positions 524 to 776 of the family's 1533-position model. The record is from RNAcentral.
UACGUAGGGUGCGAGCGUUAAUCGGAAUUACUGGGCGUAAAGCGUGCGCAGGCGGUUCGUUAAGUUCGUUGUGAAAUCCCCGGGCUUAACCUGGGAACUGCAUUUGUGACUGCAUUGCUGGAGUGCGGCAGAGGGGGAUGGAAUUCCGCGUGUAGCAGUGAAAUGCGUAGAUAUGCGGAGGAACACCGAUGGCGAAGGCAAUCCCCUGGGCCUGCACUGACGCUCAUGCACGAAAGCGUGGGGAGCAAACAGG